This 433-nucleotide ribosomal RNA is filed under the name uncultured bacterium. RNAcentral's name for it is "partial 16S ribosomal RNA". It matches the Rfam family "Bacterial small subunit ribosomal RNA", at positions 29 to 507 of the family's 1533-position model. The record is from RNAcentral.
AACGAACGCUGGCGGCAUGCCUAACACAUGCAAGUCGAACGAGACCUUCGGGUCUAGUGGCGCACGGGUGCGUAACGCGUGGGAACCUGCCCUUAGGUUCGGAAUAACUCCCCGAAAGGGGUGCUAAUACCGGAUAAUGUCUUCGGACCAAAGAUUUAUCGCCUUUGGAUGGGCCCGCGUUGGAUUAGCUAGUUGGUAGGGUAAAAGCCUACCAAGGCGACGAUCCAUAGCUGGUCUGAGAGGAUGAUCAGACACACUGGGACUGAGACACGGCCCAGACUCCUACGGGAGGGAGCAGUGGGGAAUAUUGGAAAAUGGGCGAAAGCCUGAAGCAGCAAUGCCGCGUGAGUGAUGAAGGCCUUAGGGUUGUAAAGCUCUUUUACCCGGGAUGAUAAUGACAGUACCGGGAGAAUAAGCUCCGGCUAACUACGUG